This 1787-nucleotide ribosomal RNA is filed under the name Salmonella enterica subsp. enterica serovar Typhimurium. Its description in RNAcentral is "partial 23S ribosomal RNA". It matches the Rfam family "Bacterial large subunit ribosomal RNA", at positions 149 to 1874 of the family's 2925-position model. Lineage: Bacteria; Pseudomonadati; Pseudomonadota; Gammaproteobacteria; Enterobacterales; Enterobacteriaceae. The record is from RNAcentral.
UAUCAUUAACUGAAUCCAUAGGUUAAUGAGGCGAACCGGGGGAACUGAAACAUCUAAGUACCCCGAGGAAAAGAAAUCAACCGAGAUUCCCCCAGUAGCGGCGAGCGAACGGGGAGGAGCCCAGAGCCUGAAUCAGCAUGUGUGUUAGUGGAAGCGUCUGGAAAGGCGCGCGAUACAGGGUGACAGCCCCGUACACAAAAGCGCAUGUGCUGUGAGCUCGAUGAGUAGGGCGGGACACGUGGUAUCCUGUCUGAAUAUGGGGGGACCAUCCUCCAAGGCUAAAUACUCCUGACUGACCGAUAGUGAACCAGUACCGUGAGGGAAAGGCGAAAAGAACCCCGGCGAGGGGAGUGAAAAAGAACCUGAAACCGUGUACGUACAAGCAGUGGGAGCACCCUUCGGGGUGUGACUGCGUACCUUUUGUAUAAUGGGUCAGCGACUUAUAUUCUGUAGCAAGGUUAACCGUAUAGGGGAGCCGGAGGGAAACCGAGUCUUAAUUGGGCGUUAAGUUGCAGGGUAUAGACCCGAAACCCGGUGAUCUAGCCAUGGGCAGGUUGAAGGUUGGGUAACACUAACUGGAGGACCGAACCGACUAAUGUUGAAAAAUUAGCGGAUGACCUGUGGCUGGGGGUGAAAGGCCAAUCAAACCGGGAGAUAGCUGGUUCUCCCCGAAAGCUAUUUAGGUAGCGCCUCGUGAAUUCAUCUCCGGGGGUAGAGCACUGUUUCGGCUAGGGGGCCAUCCCGGCUUACCAACCCGAUGCAAACUGCGAAUACCGGAGAAUGUUAUCACGGGAGACACACGGCGGGUGCUAACGUCCGUCGUGAAGAGGGAAACAACCCAGACCGCCAGCUAAGGUCCCAAAGUCAUGGUUAAGUGGGAAACGAUGUGGGAAGGCCCAGACAGCCAGGAUGUUGGCUUAGAAGCAGCCAUCAUUUAAAGAAAGCGUAAUAGCUCACUGGUCGAGUCGGCCUGCGCGGAAGAUGUAACGGGGCUAAACCAUGCACCGAAGCUGCGGCAGCGAACGUAUCACCCAAGACAACUUUACGGAGUUGACGAUUGACGGAGCGAAGCGACGUCAAAGCGUUCAUUAAAGUCGAGUUGGCUUAGGGAUACGUUCGUUGGGUAGGGGAGCGUUCUGUAAGCCUGUGAAGGUGUGUCGUGAGGCAUGCUGGAGGUAUCAGAAGUGCGAAUGCUGACAUAAGUAACGAUAAAGCGGGUGAAAAGCCCGCUCGCCGGAAGACCAAGGGUUCCUGUCCAACGUUAAUCGGGGCAGGGUGAGUCGACCCCUAAGGCGAGGCCGAAAGGCGUAGUCGAUGGGAAACGGGUUAAUAUUCCCGUACUUGGUGUUACUGCGAAGGGGGGACGGAGAAGGCUAUGUUGGCCGGGCGACGGUUGUCCCGGUUUAAGCGUGUAGGUGUGUGUUCCAGGUAAAUCCGGUUCACUUUAACACUGAGGCGUGACGACGAGGCACUACGGUGCUGAAGCAACAAAUGCCCUGCUUCCAGGAAAAGCCUCUAAGCAUCAGGUAACACGAAAUCGUACCCCAAACCGACACAGGUGGUCAGGUAGAGAAUACCAAGGCGCUUGAGAGAACUCGGGUGAAGGAACUAGGCAAAAUGGUGCCGUAACUUCGGGAGAAGGCACGCUGACACGUAGGUGAAGUGAUUUACUCAUGGAGCUGAAGUCAGUCGAAGAUACCAGCUGGCUGCAACUGUUUAUUAAAAACACAGCACUGUGCAAACACGAAAGUGGACGUAUACGGUGUGACGCCUGCCCGGUGCCGGAA